RNAcentral lists this long non-coding RNA (644 nucleotides) under Prunus persica (peach). RNAcentral describes it as "long non-coding RNA (PPER_LNC005030)". Lineage: Eukaryota; Viridiplantae; Streptophyta; Magnoliopsida; Rosales; Rosaceae. The record is from RNAcentral.
UCAAACACCAAAAAGUAGUACCUAAUUUUAUAAUAAUGUAAUUAAAAAAAUAUCAAAAUUACACAAAAUGCCACUACUACGAAGUCAUGCCACAUGUCCACCUCCGUCAAUCUUCCUUUGGCCGCAACUGCUGCGGCAGGUCCAGAUACUGCAGAUGUGGCAGUUGAGGUAGAUGCGGGAGCAGCUGCAGUCCCAGCUCCAGAUACCGCAGCUGUGACAGGUCCAGAUACCGCAGCUGUGACAGGUCCAGAUACCGCAGCUGUGACAGGUCCAGAUACUGCAGCUUCUUCAGAUACCGCAUGUCCAACUGCGGCUCCAGCAGCGGCUCCAUCACUUGUUGCUGGUAACCAACUAUAUUGUCCUCAACCUUUAAAAAAAGAAGAAAUUUAGUGUGCAUGAAGGAACUCAAACCUUGACCCUCAAAUGAGGAAAGCCUCAUUCACAAACCACUUCACCAACCUCGUUUUUGUGGUAUUUUUUCAGUUAUGCAAUAUUUAUAUUAACAGUCAAUGGUUUUUUUUUCUUAAUAAAGAAAAUUAUUUCACAUAUGGGCCUCCUCUUUGGCCUAAUUCAAAACAAAAUUUGAUUCAUAGAUAUUAAAAUCCAAACAGAAUUACUCUGUCUCAAAUCCUAAUUAGUUGUUA